Molecule: ribosomal RNA, 501 nt
Filed under: uncultured bacterium
Lineage: Bacteria
Description: partial 16S ribosomal RNA
Rfam family: Bacterial small subunit ribosomal RNA
Source: RNAcentral
AUUGAACGCUGGCGGCAGGCUUAACACAUGCAAGUCGAGCGGAGAGAGGUAGCUUGCUACUGAUCUUAGCGGCGGACGGGUGAGUAAUGCUUAGGAAUCUGCCUAUUAGUGGGGGACAACACUUCGAAAGGAAUGCUAAUACCGCAUACGUCCUACGGGAGAAAGCAGGGGAUCUUCGGACCUUGCGCUGAUAGAUGAGCCUAAGUCGGAUUAGCUAGUUGGUGGGGUAAAGGCCUACCAAGGCGACGAUCUGUAGCGGGUCUGAGAGGAUGAUCCGCCACACUGGGACUGAGACACGGCCCAGACUCCUACGGGAGGCAGCAGUGGGGAAUAUUGGACAAUGGGCGGAAGCCUGAUCCAGCCAUGCCGCGUGUGUGAAGAAGGCCUUAUGGUUGUAAAGCACUUUAAGCGAGGAGGAGGCUACUUUAGUUAAUACCUAGAGAUAGUGGACGUUACUCGCAGAAUAAGCACCGGCUAACUCUGUGCCAGCAGCCGCAGUAA